Molecule: ribosomal RNA, 403 nt
Filed under: uncultured bacterium
Lineage: Bacteria
Description: bacterial SSU rRNA
Rfam family: Bacterial small subunit ribosomal RNA
Source: RNAcentral
AACGAACGCUGGCGGCGUGCCUAACACAUGCAAGUCGUGCGAGAAAGUUCCUUCGGGAGCGAGUAAAGCGGCGCACGGGUGAGUAACACGUAGGUAACCUGCCCCUAAAGUCUGGAACAACUAGAGGAAACUCUAGCUAAUGCCGGAUAAGACCACGAUCCCCUCGGGGGUUGCGGCCAAAGAUGGCCUCUACUUGUAAGCUAUCGCUGAGGGAUGGGCCUGCGGGCCAUUAGCUUGUUGGUGAGGUAACGGCUCACCAAGGCUGUGAUGGCUAGCUGGUCUGAGAGGAUGACCAGCCACACUGGGACUGAGACACGGCCCAGACUCCUACGGGAGGCAGCAGUGGGGAAUAUUGCGCAAUGGCGAAAGCCUGACGCAGCGACGCCGCGUGGUGAUGAAGGCC